This 459-nucleotide ribosomal RNA is filed under the name uncultured bacterium. RNAcentral describes it as "partial 16S ribosomal RNA". It matches the Rfam family "Bacterial small subunit ribosomal RNA", at positions 339 to 795 of the family's 1533-position model. The record is from RNAcentral.
CUACGGGGCGCAGCAGUGAGGAAUAUUGGACAAUGGAGGCAACUCUGAUCCAGCCAUGCCGCGUGCAGGAAGACGGCCCUAUGGGUUGUAAACUGCUUUUAUACGGGAAGAAACCCAACUACGUGUAGUUGGCUGACGGUACCGUAAGAAUAAGUACCGGCUAACUCCGUGCCAGCAGCCGCGGUAAUACGGAGGGUGCAAGCGUUAUCCGGAAUCAUUGGGUUUAAAGGGUCCGUAGGCGGACUGAUAAGUCAGGGGUGAAAUCCAACAGCUUAACUGUUGAACUGCCUUUGAUACUGUUAGUCUUGAAUUAUAUGGAAGUAGAUAGAAUGUGUAGUGUAGCGGUGAAAUGCUUAGAGAUUACACAGAAUACCGAUUGCGAAGGCAGUCUACUACGUAUAUAUUGACGCUAAUGGACGAAAGCGUGGGGAGCAAACAGGAUUAGAUACCCCCGUAGUC